Anneissia japonica is the source of this 224-nucleotide long non-coding RNA. RefSeq lists it as uncharacterized. The transcript has 3 exons. The record is from RefSeq and is a predicted model, not a curated record. Lineage: Eukaryota; Metazoa; Echinodermata; Crinoidea; Comatulida; Comatulidae.
AAGGUUGCCAGUGCUUGUCUGGCAUUUGCCACUACCAGACUGGAGUUUGUGUUUGCCCUCCUAAUGUCAUCGGCAAUUUCUGUGAUGCUUGUAAGGAGAACUAUUUUGGUUACGACCCCAUUGCAGGCUGCAUUGAGUGUGAUUGUGACCCUAGAGGAACUGAAGGGGACAUUAAUAAAUGUGACCGGGUGACUGGCCAGUGCAGUUGCAAACAUAAUGUAGGC